Molecule: ribosomal RNA, 440 nt
Filed under: uncultured bacterium
Lineage: Bacteria
Description: partial 16S ribosomal RNA
Rfam family: Bacterial small subunit ribosomal RNA
Source: RNAcentral
CCUACGGGGGGCAGCAGUAGGGAAUAUUGCUCAAUGGGGGAAACCCUGAAGCAGCAACGCCGCGUGGAGGAUGAAGGUUUUCGGAUUGUAAACUCCUUUUGUUAGAGAAGAUAAUGACGGUAUCUAACGAAUAAGCACCGGCUAACUCCGUGCCAGCAGCCGCUGUCAUUCGGAGGGUGCAAGCGUUACUCGGAAUCACUGGGCGUUAAGAGCGCGUCGGCGGAAUAGCAAGUCAGGUGUGAAAUCCUAUGGCUUAACCAUCGAACUGCAAUUGAAACUGUUAUUCUGGAGUAUGAGAGAGGUAGGUGGAAUUCUUGGUGUAGGGGUAAAAUCCGUAGAGAUCAAGAAGAAUACUCAUUGCGAAGGCGACCUGCUAGAACAUAACUGACGCUGAUGCGCGAAAGCGUGGGGAGCGAACAGGAUUAGAUACCCGGGUAGUC